GGUGCGUAACACGUGUGCAACCUACCUUAAAGUUCAGAAUAGCCUGCCGAAAGGCGGAUUAAUGCGGAAUGUGGCGGCUCACAGCAUUGUGUGCUUGCUAAAGCCGGGGUCGCAAGACCUGGCGCUUUAAGAGGGGCUCGCGGCCUAUCAGCUUGUUGGCGGGGUAACGGCCCACCAAGGCUAAGACGGGUAGCUGUUCUGAGAGGAAGAUCAGCCACACUGGGACUGAGAUACGGCCCANACACCUACGGGUGGCAGCAGUUUCGAAUCAUUUACAAUGGGGGAAACCCUGAUAGUGCGACGCCGCGUGGGGGAUGAAGGUCCUUGGAUUGUAAACCCCUGUCACCGGAGAACAAACGCGUAUGGCUAAUAUCCAUACGCCUGAGCUUAUCCGGAGAGGAAGCCGUGGCCAACUCUGUGCCAGCAGCCGCGGUAAUACAGAGACGGCGAGCGUUACUCGGAUUUACUGGGCGUAAAGGGUGCGUAGGUGGCCAAGUGUGUCGGGUGUGAAAUCUCGGAGCUCAACUCCGAAACUGCGCCCGAAACUACUUGGCUUGAGUCUCAGAGAGGGUAGUGNAAUUCCUGGUGUAGCGGUGAANUGCGUANAUAUCANGAGGAAUACC
This 623-nucleotide ribosomal RNA is filed under the name uncultured Verrucomicrobiae bacterium. RNAcentral's name for it is "bacterial SSU rRNA". It matches the Rfam family "Bacterial small subunit ribosomal RNA", at positions 105 to 710 of the family's 1533-position model. The record is from RNAcentral. Lineage: Bacteria; Pseudomonadati; Verrucomicrobiota; Verrucomicrobiia.